AGUGAACGCUGGCGGUAGGCCUAACACAUGCAAGUCGAACGGCAGCACAGUAAGAGCUUGCUCUUACGGGUGGCGAGUGGCGGACGGGUGAGGAAUACAUCGGAAUCUACUUUUUCGUGGGGGAUAACGUAGGGAAACUUACGCUAAUACCGCAUACGACCUACGGGUGAAAGCAGGGGAUCUUCGGACCUUGCGCGAUUGAAUGAGCCGAUGUCGGAUUAGCUAGUUGGCGGGGUAAAGGCCCACCAAGGCGACGAUCCGUAGCUGGUCUGAGAGGAUGAUCAGCCACACUGGACAUGAGAAACGGCCCAGACCCCGAGGGGAGGCAGCAGUGGGGAAUAUUGGAAAAGGGGGGAAACCCUGAUCCAGCCAUACCGGGUGGGGGAAGAAGGCCUUCGGGUUGUAAAGCCCUUUUUUUGGGAAAAAAAAGCAGCAGGUUAAUACCCCGCUGUUCUGACGGUACCAAAAGAAUAAGCACCGGCUAACUUCGG
This 491-nucleotide ribosomal RNA is filed under the name uncultured bacterium. Its description in RNAcentral is "partial 16S ribosomal RNA". It matches the Rfam family "Bacterial small subunit ribosomal RNA", at positions 29 to 506 of the family's 1533-position model. The record is from RNAcentral.